CCGAGUUUACAACUCCCAAACCCAAUGUGAACCAUACCAAACUGUUGCCUCGGCGGGGUCACGCCCCGGGUGCGUCGCAGCCCCGGAACCAGGCGCCCGCCGGAGGGACCAACCAAACUCUUUACUGUAGUCCCCUCGCGGACGUUAUUUCUUACAGCUCUGAGCAAAAAUUCAAAAUGAAUCA
Molecule: unclassified non-coding RNA, 184 nt
Filed under: uncultured Trichoderma
Lineage: Eukaryota; Fungi; Ascomycota; Sordariomycetes; Hypocreales; Hypocreaceae
Description: sequence contains ITS1
Source: RNAcentral